UUUUUUUUUUUUUUUUUUUUAGCACGGAAAGAUUCUACAGCCUGUCUGAAUGCUGAUUGGAAAGAUCCAACAGACAGAGGGGAUGGCCAGAGGGGAAAAUGAGAGCUCUCAGAAGGCUGGAAGGGAUAGGCUUAGUCCACCUGUGGCUGGAUUGACUUUUGGGAGAAAGUGGGCUAUUUUUUGUUUCAGUAAUAGAAAAGAAAGAGGAGAUAGAUAUUGAUGAAAAUUGGUUUGUGUAUUUAGCAGUUAAGAACUUUCUGCCUGGCAACAUCUCUUCCUAUUAAGUACUGGGCAAGUCCAGGUAUUGGGAGUGGGAAGGAAGGGAGGAAACGGGGUACCUAGGAGACGUAGAAGGUAUUUUGAAGUGGCUUCUGGCAUGAUAAGCCAGCGUGCUUGCUAGAGAGUGUAGUAGUCAUAGUAAUACUUAACACUGGAGUGCUUACAUUAUACUGCUGAGCACUUUAUAUGAACUAGCUCACCUUGCCCACCAAGGCUCUACUUUAACAGGCACUACAGUGAUGAAGAGCAUAGACUUUGGGGCCGGAGUGGCCAGAGUGCUGGUUAAAUGCCCACUACCACUUACUAGGGUGUGAGCUUGGUCAAGUUACUUAACAUUGCAGAGCCCGUUUUCCCAUCUCUAAAAUAGAAAUAGUGGUGGCACCUGCCUCCUGGGGUUGUUGUGACUGGGUUAACAUGUUUGUACAGUACUCAGAACAAUGCAUGGCACAUAGUAAAAAUUUUAAGUACUAAUUUAAGAAGAGAAGAGAAAAACAUUGUAUAAGUAGAUCUAAGGUGUUAGGAGAUGUAGUUAUGUUGGGGGAAAAAAAUCUCUCUGGCUAUAAUGAUUCUGUGGAGGAUCCUUUCCAGUCCUUAAAGGUGGUUAAACAGUUGAACUCUAACCUCCUGAAGAGCCUAAUUUUAUUCUUUGGAACUAUAGAAGAUGUUUGGCAGAUUUUUUGCUCAGUCGUUUUUAUCAUCAGAAAGGCUAAAAGUAGGGACAACUUAUUUCCUUGGGCUAGGGAUUGAAAAACUUAGAUUUUGAUCCCAGUCACUGGGUGAACCCACAUGCUUAUUUCAACCUCUGUGCUGUCUCUCCCUCCAUAAAGUAAUGGGAAGGAAGAUGGCUUCAAGGAAAGAGCCAGGGUCUGAGAGCAGUGAUUGGAAACCUGGAAGAAGCCAUUCACACCCCAUGUGCUCCAUUCAUUCAUCUCUAAAAUGCCUGUCAAUCAAAGUCAGGCAAAUUGUGAGAAAAUGAAACUGUAUGUAGAAGUACUUCGAAAAUAAAAGUGUUUUAUGUUCACAGCAUUAUUAUUAGAAAUAAUCUUUGCUACCAGCUCAUCAUAAAUGCUUGGCAGAUUAAUGAGGUGAUUUGAUAAUUGUAAUGUUUUGAGUUUCUUUGGAAGACGUGUGUAACACAAAUGCCAGGUGUUUCUGUUAUGGGAGAACUUGAAUAAGUCACAGAGGAUCUAACUACAUGCUUAGUACAUCAUGCUGAGUAUUAUAGAAAAACAAAAGAACUUUAAAACAAGGUUCUUGGCUUCUAAGAAUAUAGUUUUCACAGGGUGAUAAAAUAUACACCUAGUAUUAUUCAGUACGACAUGUGAUUGAGUGCUAGAAUACGUGAUGCAGACAGAAAGUACUAGAAGAAGUUGUGGAGGGGGACUAUAUAGGUGGUAACUGCUUUUCUUUUCCUGAGGUAAAUGUUUUCUGAUGGCUUUGUCCAUGCAGGAUUCAUUUUCUACUUCUAUUUUCCCAGUGAUUUCUAAUGUUCAUUGAGAGGUUACAAAAUGGUUUAUGAUUAUAUAUGUCCAACUUGACAACCAGAAUCCAUUUCUUAGUCUAAACCAAAAAAAAAAA
Molecule: long non-coding RNA, 1857 nt
Filed under: Homo sapiens (human)
Lineage: Eukaryota; Metazoa; Chordata; Mammalia; Primates; Hominidae
Description: novel transcript, sense intronic to BCL9
Source: RNAcentral